Molecule: ribosomal RNA, 304 nt
Filed under: uncultured bacterium
Lineage: Bacteria
Description: partial 16S ribosomal RNA
Rfam family: Bacterial small subunit ribosomal RNA
Source: RNAcentral
CAGCAGCAGCCACGGUAAUACAGAGGGUGCAAGCGUUAAUCGGAUUUACUGGGCGUAAAGGGCGCGUAGGUGGUUAUUUAAGUGAGAUGUGAAAGCCCCGGGCUUAACCUGGGAACUGCAUCUUAUACUGGGUAACUGGAGUGCAGUAGAGGGUAGUGGAAUUUCCGGUGUAGCGGUGAAAUGCGUAGAUAUCGGAAGGAACACCAGUGGCGAAGGCGGCUACCUGGACUGAGACUGACACUGAGGCGCGAGAGCGUGGGGAGCAAACAGGAUUAGAUACCCCUGUAGUCCCUGUCUCUUAUAC